CUCGUAGGUGGUUUGUCGCGUUGUUCGUGAAAACCGGGGGCUUAACCCUCGGCGUGCGGGCGAUACGGGCAGACUGGAGUACUGCAGGGGAGACUGGAAUUCCUGGUGUAGCGGUGGAAUGCGCAGAUAUCAGGAGGAACACCGGUGGCGAAGGCGGGUCUCUGGGCAGUAACUGACGCUGAGGAGCGAAAGCGUGGGGAGCGAACA
Molecule: ribosomal RNA, 207 nt
Filed under: uncultured bacterium
Lineage: Bacteria
Description: partial 16S ribosomal RNA
Rfam family: Bacterial small subunit ribosomal RNA
Source: RNAcentral